Molecule: ribosomal RNA, 232 nt
Filed under: uncultured bacterium
Lineage: Bacteria
Description: partial 16S ribosomal RNA
Rfam family: Bacterial small subunit ribosomal RNA
Source: RNAcentral
AAUCAACGCUGGCGGCGUGCCUCAGACAUGCAAGUCGAACGCGAAAGGCUCCUUCGGGGGUACACGAGCGGCGAACGGGUGAGUAACACGUGGGUGACCUGCCCUCAGCUCUGGGAUAAGCCUGGGAAACCGGGUCUAAUACCGGAUAUGACUCCAUGACGCAUGUUGUGGGGUGGAAAGCCUUGUGCGGCUGAGGAUGGGCCCGCGGCCUAUCAGCUUGUUGGGGGGUGAU